AUGCAUCUGCGCCCCGAGGCCGUGGCCUCCUCGUCCCGAUUCAAGGGAGAAUCGUCGGAUCCGCAUCAAGCCACCAUCCCCUGCCUCGCCAGCGCCACCUUUCUCCGCAUCCGGCUCGUCCCGGACCUCCCAUGCAAACUCUCGCUGCAGUGUCGAGUUCCUGCUACUGCUAAUGCCUUGCUGGAGCGCUCCGCCGCGCCAAGUCCUCGCCGCUGGCCUUCCCCACGCCCGUUGUUCCCGACCCAGGAGCCUCGUUUGAGCGCCGCCUCCACCUCAGGCAAGCCUGCCGUCAACCGCUGUGAGAAGAAGUGCUGCUACCCGUCUUCGUUGACACCACAGGAGCUCCACUGCUGUGUCUCUUUGCCAUUUCGUGAGCAUAAGAAUCACUGUCGCCAAGUUCAUCUACGGUGGCCAUACAGACCGCCAAGUUCAACUACGAUCCAUCAAGACCACCGUGCUGCACGUCAACAUGGGUACGACCACGAACGGCUACCUCCAGAUGGAUUUCGUCAAGUUCCGCUUCAACAAGUGUACCUCUACCGUCGACCCUCAAAGAACCGUGGACGUCAAGUUUCUCGCCGUGACCGUGAACAUCUACGAAAAUGUUGUAUGACUACUACCGUGGCCGAAGACCCGUGCACGACUACCGUUGCCGUGUACCACUACUUCCACUACAAACGCCCCGAGAAUGUCUACUUCCUCUACUUUGCACCGAACGAGAACCAUCCCAUUUGCACGCUUCGAAGUUCCGAUAACGUCGCGUUUGUGAGGAUCCGUUCGACUACGUCCGUUUGUCUUCCUCAUGGAAUCGUUCUUCUUCCUUGCGGGAUUUCAGGUGCCGAUGAUACCAGUGCAGGUGACGCAACUGAGCUCAAGCGGGAGCUCGAUGAAGACAUUUUCAUUGUUGUGUUUUGUUUCCUUUUGAUCAGUAGUGGAGCCCAGUUGGGACGAUCGGGGAUCUAG
This 963-nucleotide ribosomal RNA is filed under the name Triticum aestivum (bread wheat). RNAcentral's name for it is "partial small subunit ribosomal RNA". Lineage: Eukaryota; Viridiplantae; Streptophyta; Magnoliopsida; Poales; Poaceae. The record is from RNAcentral.